AUCUUUGCGCUUGGGGCAAUGACGCAGCUAGUGAGGUUAUACCGAGGCGCGUCAAUUGCUGGUUGAAAACUAUUUCCAAACCCCCUCUUCGGCCCUGGUGAAUGCCUGGGCUGUCGAGAAUUUCUGGAAAGGCUCCCUCUAAACAAGGGUAAAGCC
Molecule: small nuclear RNA, 156 nt
Filed under: Thalictrum thalictroides
Lineage: Eukaryota; Viridiplantae; Streptophyta; Magnoliopsida; Ranunculales; Ranunculaceae
Description: U4 spliceosomal RNA
Rfam family: U4 spliceosomal RNA
About the family: U4 small nuclear RNA (U4 snRNA) is a component of the major U2-dependent spliceosome. The structure of U4 snRNA from yeast and human has been reported. U4 snRNA presents a k-turn RNA motif in the 5p-SL related to recognition of Snu13 protein.
Source: Rfam by way of RNAcentral